RNAcentral lists this ribosomal RNA (254 nucleotides) under uncultured bacterium. RNAcentral's name for it is "partial 16S ribosomal RNA". It matches the Rfam family "Bacterial small subunit ribosomal RNA", at positions 524 to 777 of the family's 1533-position model. The record is from RNAcentral.
UACGUAGGGUGCGAGCGUUGUCCGGAAUUACUGGGCGUAAAGAGCUCGUAGGUGGUUUGUCGCGUUGUUCGUGAAAACUCACAACUCAAUUGUGGGCGUGCGGGCGAUACGGGCAGACUGGAGUACUGCAGGGGAGACUGGAAUUCCUGGUGUAGCGGUGGAAUGCGCAGAUAUCAGGAGGAACACCGGUGGCGAAGGCGGGUCUCUGGGCAGUAACUGACGCUGAGGAGCGAAAGCGUGGGGAGCGAACAGGA